RNAcentral lists this transfer RNA (16 nucleotides) under Boechera sparsiflora var. sparsiflora. RNAcentral describes it as "partial tRNA-Phe". The record is from RNAcentral. Lineage: Eukaryota; Viridiplantae; Streptophyta; Magnoliopsida; Brassicales; Brassicaceae. RNAcentral also lists the same sequence under 12 other names.
CGGGAUAGCUCAGUUG